Non-coding RNA from Meleagris gallopavo (turkey), 1635 nucleotides. NCBI's taxonomy places the organism in Eukaryota, Metazoa, Chordata, Aves, Galliformes, Phasianidae. The record is from RefSeq and is a predicted model, not a curated record.
CUGAAUUAAUAUACAUUUUUCUUGGCUAAAAGGCUUAUUUGUCUUGUUUGUCUUGUUGAAAAGAUAAAUGCAAAAUCUCGUUUAGAUUUGUGUUUACAAUUAGCUAUUUUCACACAUCAAGGCUUUAUCUCUGGCCAGUGCUGGUUCAUUAAUAUGGAGAAAAAAAUUUCAUGCUUUCAUCUGCAGGCUUGGCUCUUUCCCCACUGAAAUAACUAAAUGUGUUGCCACUGGUAUCAGUGCAAGAAGUGUCUGGCCCUGCAUUACUAUUGUUUUUCUCCUGAAUAAGUUGCAGGCUUUCCAAGAGAAGAGGUUAGACAAUUGGUUGAUCUCCAUUAAACACAAUGGUGUUUGGUCUUGCUAACAAAAUGAAGAUUACUUAAGCAUGCUACUCAGACUUCCACAUUAUUUAAAGCACUGAAGUGAAAACAAUGUUCUGGAUGUAAAAAGACCUGCUACUCCAUUCAAGCAUACCUCUCUCAACACCACAACAAAUGGCUGUUUUACUAUAGUAGACAAAGACUCCAUGCAAUAAUACCGUGCGAAUGCAGGAAACCUUAUAUUCAUGAGCAUUUGGCAUAAAAAAAAGCACUCUCUCUUCUGUCUAUAACUGCUUAAGUUCAGUUUUGACUAGCUCCCUACCACAAAGGUGAUAAUGAAAAGUAUAUGAGGAUGGAAGAAUCUGGCAGUUUCUUAUUUUAUAGCAUCAAUAUUAGGCUACAAGGACAGGCUUAGAAUUUUUGUUUAUAACUUCUUUAGAAAUGCAUUCUUUAUGGCAUUUGGGAGACUACUACCUGUGGGAAAAUUGGGUAGAGUAUAUGGAAGGAUGACCUUGUUGUACUCUAAUCAGAUUUUUUAUCCGUGGGUGGUGAAGCCUAAGAAGGUAAUGGCAAUUGGAUGACCUUACAUACUUCACCACUGUGCUGGAGAACCUUUCUCACUCUUUGCUGGGAAUGGCUAAAUUUUGGAAGAGAGAUGGAGAGGGAACACAAAAUGAGGGAGACGAGCACCACAGCACCCAGCCUCCAUCUGCCUCCUGUGUCACCAAUCACAUCAGCACCCUUGAAUAAUUUUUUCCUGCUUUAACUGUGAAGAAAACGAAAUGGCUGCUCCAUCUCCUUGCUAUCCGUUGGCUAAAAUGAAUUUGAAAAUAAGAGUUGACAGACUGGACAAAUGUAUGGUGGUUGGAGAAGCAGAUUUUUCAAGGCAGAACUGAAGAUAGCCAGCAUUUCCUUAUCUCUGAUUUUCUGAAAGAUUUUGAGCAUCUGCCAACUCCUUUUUAAGCUGGUAUUUGUAAUUGCUUCAAGGUACUGCGUUUAAGUGCUCUAAGUGUUUUUUGAAAUUGCUUCCAAGGAGUGAGUUUUCUGAAAUGUUACCGAAAAUAAAGUAAAUGACGCACAGCUGAAUUCCUUGCCUAUUUCUUCACUGCACAGUUCCAGUGACACAAGAAGCCACAGGCAUGCAUGGCUCACAGGUUCUGCACCCAAGCCACCACUCCCUCAGCAUGCUGCUGCUUCUCCCUUCUCCCUCCAUUCCAUCCAACAUCCCCAUCCCUCCUUCCUCUUUCCUCCACAAACUUAACUCUCAGUUGUCUGACCAAGUGGUUCUUACCUCACAGCCAGGGCCUGAACCUCGUAA